This 27-nucleotide non-coding RNA is filed under the name Homo sapiens (human). The record is from RNAcentral. Lineage: Eukaryota; Metazoa; Chordata; Mammalia; Primates; Hominidae.
UGUACUUUCUGGAGUUCAAUGAUCGCA